CGGCUGCAGCUGGGCAAUGGAGUGUGGAAUGUGGCUGGGAAAGCCCUACCUGGGCUGGGCCAAGCAGGACAGACAAGCCCUGACUCCCAUACCCCAAACAACUCUCUCAAGGAGACAUUUAAAAGGAAUUGCAAUUGUUUGUGUCCUCUGGUUGAGCUCACUGGAGAAAUACCAGCAAGAGAUUCUCAGGAGCUCCAAACAACCAAACAGCCUUUACUGUCAACUUUAGAAAAUCAGAGAAACUUUGGCAAAUGGUUUAUCACAACAUUGUAGUGGUUUUGCUUUGUUAAUGCUUUUUUACAGCUUAUUGAUGGGUCAUGUCAACUUCUGAGGUAUUGUUUUAAAGGUCUCCACAUGCUGCAAGUGGUUUCCAGCUGUGACCUCCUGUCCAAUGGAGCAUCCAUGGAUGCCACCAGUAUGGCUACAAGGGCUGGGAUUUCAUCUCCUUCCAGCUGGGAUCCAGGAGCUUUGCAGUGUCCGAUGGUGCCACCUGGAUCAGACAGAGGUCAGGCUGUUCCUGCAGGGUCACACAUGCGGCUGAACCUGCAGACAGAAGAGAGAGAAGCCAAGCUCCAAGACAAAGAAAAUGGGAAAAGUGACACAAGAGAAGAGAGAAGAAGGAAAAGGUACAGACAUACA
Molecule: long non-coding RNA, 639 nt
Organism: Zonotrichia leucophrys gambelii
Lineage: Eukaryota; Metazoa; Chordata; Aves; Passeriformes; Passerellidae
Exons: 4
Source: RefSeq, a predicted model, not a curated record